This 488-nucleotide unclassified non-coding RNA is filed under the name Hevea brasiliensis (rubber tree). The record is from RNAcentral. Lineage: Eukaryota; Viridiplantae; Streptophyta; Magnoliopsida; Malpighiales; Euphorbiaceae.
AGUUUAAGAAUUUUAUUAGGUUUAUAAUUUAUUAUUUUGUCAAGUUUAUUGUUAUUUUUCUACUUUAUUUUGUUUAGGAUUUCUAAUUACAGUUGAAUUGAGUUCUUAAUUCUAAUGUGAUUAGGGUUGCAAAACUCUAUAAAUAAGGCUUAUUUUAUCUACUUAUUUACAGAUUCUAUUAUGAUAUCAUUGACAAUUGAGAUUUAAUAAAAUUCUUAGAGAAUUUGUUUCACUUAAUCUUGGUUUCUUCCUGGUUCUACAUCAAAAAGAUACUCCAAUAAAUAUUUCUAACCUACAACAAUUGAAAUAUUCCAACAUGUUCAGUGUUAUGCGCAUACAAACAAAGAACUAUGUAAAAAAGUAGCACCAAGUAUUGUUCAUAACAGUGCUUGUACUAUCAAAGCCACUAAACUUCAAUCCCCUUCUAGUGCUAAGUCACAAAAGCAUAAAACACAACUAUCCUGAUGUUACCUUAGUUGUAGAAGAAG